UACUUUUCUACUAUAGUUUGUACGUCAAAAGAGUAGUAUGGCUAAUUGCAUAGUAUGCGAAAAACAGUAGACAAAAAGUACCCAGAUGACUUACUACUACUAGCGAGAUUUUGAAGUGCGCAUUCGAUGAACACUUUACUAUCCCAUGAGGCAACAGGAGAUGAGUUGUGAACUGAUGCUGUAGGUCACAUGACCAUAUCAACACCCCAUUGUAGUAAAUCCUUACUACAUAUAACAUGACUUCAAAUGGUUCUCUGUGGAGCCUCUGGUGCCGUUACAUCCAAUCAUGGUCUGGCUCCUAUCCCCAGGGAGUGCGUGUGUGAAGCCAGGGUGUCACUCCAUGACCAACCAGCCGAUAAAUAACCGUACCUAAUCAUGCUUGCUGCUCCACGGCACGACAAAGCGCAGACAUCAGCAUCUAUACAGUACCUGCCGAUCAGCUGCAUGGUAAAUAAACAUCUCUGACCUUCCUGCUGCUCGGCGACACUUGAACAGAGCGUAAACACGUUCAUGUCAGAAAUGCGUGGUCUUCUGGGGUUUCUCACCACACUCCACACCCAAGGUGCAUCUUGAGCCCCUGAUUCCCAUGGUGUGCACAUGUGAUGUCUGGUGCCAAUUCAUACACUGUCACUCUGAGAAAGGUGCACUUCCGAAUUCUUGUUACACUCAAAGCAAGGUGCAUGUGUGCCGGUCCCCAGGGACUCAGAGCUCUUACACCCAGGACAAAGUGCACCAUUCCCAGUCCCCAGAGGUUGCACGUGUGAAGACGGGUGUUAGCUAGUGCUGGGCAGCCAGUAAAUAACCGUAUCUGGCUUAGAACAACAAGAACUGUCAGAAGCUCGCAAUUUAUAUUUGAUUACAUCACAAUGACAUCUAACAGGCAUUCCAAAUUACUUUCAAUAAUGUCAGCUGCUAGUACAAUUCUCUCUAAUUCUCUCUCUAGUUAUUCUCUUAGGCUGAUGAUACACGAUGAUGAUAAAACUUUUUGAGCAAUUUUGCCGGGCAGCUGUUUUUGAGCAUGCUUUCUUGGGCACGUUUCCAUUGAGAAUGGGUAACAGAUUUCUAUCUGGAUACUUUAGAUCGUUCAUGGGCCCUGUGUCUCACCUGUUUCCCCUUUGACGGCUCCCCGUGUAUUAUCAGCCUUAGUUUCUAGACAAAAAUGGGGAUAUCCAAACUCUGAUGAAUAAUUCGUUUGUUUUCAUGCAACUUACUUGAUCAGCUUAACAUCUGUAUUCAACUGUUUACCUGAUAACCACAACUAUAACUCUACACUGUAAAAAAAGUCUGUAAAAAUACAGUACAAUAUACCGUAAUAAUUUGAAGGAAUUUUCAGUAAGUUAUUUGGUUUUUACAGGUGUUUUCCCGUAUUUUUUUAAAUUACGCUUUGCAUUGUGGGAACAAGAAGCUCAGUCGAUUAUCGGCGCGAAAACAGUGCAGGCUCCAUUAUUCACGGAGAUAGUUUCGGUCAAAAUUUCAUUUUUAAAGUCGGAUUUUGGGUUUGGGGAACUGUUCUUACACUUCCGUAGUAAAUUAGUUUUUGUUAAAUGUAACACAAACUGUAACUUUAACUUAGUUGCUGUCUAGCUUGUUUGGUAAAUGAAUGUCGGAGCCGUCAUAUUUAACACUUUCAGCACACUGUCACAUCUUUUACUCGACGACGUGGAGGAGCUAUUGAAGAAAAGUAAUUGUCAAGAAAAGAAGACACCAUUUACGACUUUAAAAAAAAAAAAAAUUUAAGAUAAGACUAGGUGAAGAUCUGACAUCGCAGAAUUCUUCAAGGAUAACGCCUUUUCUGCCAAACGAGGUCUAAUUGCUGCUGCUGUACUGUACACCCCAAGCACCCCCUGCAUUCUUAUCAUGGAUUGCUGUCAUUCAAGAAGUUAUCAUUUCCUCCCAUUGUGGCUGAGCUACACAUUCUCUUUGUUUUAUUUUAAACAUAAAACAUCCAGAGGAGAUGGCACCUAUGCUGGAAUCCAUACAAAUUCUUCCUGUGAAGAAAUCCUGAACGAGGGUCAAAGGUUGAGAUGAUGGGAAGCUACGCUUCCAAGACUUUGAGAAUCCAUGUACAAUUUGAGCUUUUUUCAAAUCUUAACAUGGAACUUGGACUGAACAUGCAGAAAAAAAGUAGUUUCCACAAACUGGCACAUGACAAGAGAUACUAAAAGCACACAAGUUUAGUUUAGUAUAGUUGUAUAGUAUAGUUUCACAUUGAAAUGUGAGGCAUGAGUGCAUGAAUCUUUGUUUUUUUUAUUUUCAAAUGCUGUACAAGAAAGUAUUUUUUGCAGUACCAUGUCAGUUGUAGAUGCAGAUAAUUUAGCAUGAAUUAGAGGUUAGUAAUCUAACUUAAAGGGUUAGUUCACCCAAAAUGUUAUAUGAAAAAUCUUGUUCCAAUCCUGUUAGACUUUUGUUCAUUUUUGGAACACUAAUGAAGAUCCUUUUUAAUGAAAUCUGACAGCUAUAACUUAUUGGACCUUGAAAUGGUUGUUGUAUAUGGUAGUUGUCAAUGGAAGGACAGAAAGCACAGAGAUUUAAUUAAAAAUACUCUUUGUUUGUGUUCCAAAUAUGAAUGAAAAUCUUAUGGAUUUGGAACGGUAUGAGGGUGAGUAACUAAUGACAGAAUUCACAUUUUUGGGUGAACUGUCCUUUUUAAAUAAUAUUGUGUUCUUCUAUAGGUUAAAUGGUGUAAACACUGGAACAUUUCACUUGACUAUUGACUAUAAGUCUAUAGCAAUUGUUAUUAAUGACAGCCCUGUCUUUGUAUUAAUUUUUUUCCCGCAUGUAUUUGAAAAUAUUUUGAAUCUUGACUGUUUCACAAUGAAGUUUAUCUUUUGUGACCACUAUUUGGUGCAACACCAGUAUUGUACAAGUCAAGUACCUGCUCAUUCUGCAUGUUGCUGUUUAAAACUAAAGUGUUCCACAAUACAAGCAUUUUCAGUGGUGCUUUACACAUUGUUAAAUUAAUUGAUGUAAUAAUAUUUUUGUCUUCACCUGUUUAAGGCAAAUAAAAGCUACUGAACACAGUUUUAAGAAUGUUUACAUGAGGUAAAAAUAAACCAUGUUCAAUUUGUA
Onychostoma macrolepis is the source of this 3069-nucleotide long non-coding RNA. RefSeq lists it as uncharacterized. The transcript is spliced from 5 exons. Lineage: Eukaryota; Metazoa; Chordata; Actinopteri; Cypriniformes; Cyprinidae. The record is from RefSeq and is a predicted model, not a curated record.